This 397-nucleotide small RNA is filed under the name Pan troglodytes (chimpanzee). RNAcentral's name for it is "retained intron". Lineage: Eukaryota; Metazoa; Chordata; Mammalia; Primates; Hominidae. The record is from RNAcentral.
AGGCACAGGCUGCAUGUGAUUGUGGAUGAGGUCUACAUGCUGUCCGUGUUUGAGAAGUCUGUUGGGUACCGCAGUGUCCUAAGCCUGGAAAGGCUGCCUGACCCCCAGAGGACCCAUGUGAUGUGGGCAACCAGCAAGGACUUCGGGAUGUCUGGGCUCCGCUUUGGCACGCUGUACACAGAAAACCAGGAUGUGGCCACUGCCGUGGCUUCCCUCUGCCGCUACCACGGCCUCAGUGGCUUGGUCCAGUACCAGAUGGCGCAGCUGCUCCGGGACCGUGAUGAGGAAAAUGAGGACCAGAUACUACCCCACUCACUAUAGUAGCUAAAAGUUUUAAAAAUAGUGACAACAUCAAGUGUUGACAAAGAUAAGGAGCAGCUGGAAGUCUCAUACACUG